Molecule: ribosomal RNA, 470 nt
Filed under: Williopsis saturnus
Lineage: Eukaryota; Fungi; Ascomycota; Saccharomycetes; Phaffomycetales; Wickerhamomycetaceae
Description: eukaryotic LSU rRNA
Rfam family: Eukaryotic large subunit ribosomal RNA
Source: RNAcentral
UUUGAAGAUAGUUUUCUGGUGCUGGCCCUUGUCUAUGUUCCUUGGAACAGGACGUCACAGAGGGUGAGAAUCCCGUCYGGCGGGGUGUCCAGUGCUUUGUAGAUUUCUAUCGACGAGUCGAGUUGUUUGGGAAUGCAGCUCUAAGUGGGUGGUAAAUUCCAUCUAAAGCUAAAUAUUGGCGAGAGACCGAUAGCGAACAAGUACAGUGAUGGAAAGAUGAAAAGAACUUUGAAAAGAGAGUGAAAAAGUACGUGAAAUUGUUGAAAGGGAAGGGUAUUAGAUCAGACUUGGUGUUUUGUGAUUAUCUUCCCUUCUUGGGUUGUGCACUCGCAUUUCACUGGGCCAGCAUCGGUUCGGGUGGUAAGAUAAUGACAUUGGAACGUGGCACUGCCUUCGGGUGGUGUGUUAUAGCCCUUGUUGAUGUUGCCUACCUGGACCGAGGACUGCGGCUUUUGCCUAGGAUGCUGGCG